ACACGGGACUGCCGGUCUUAAGCCGGAGGAAGGUGGGGAUGAUGUCGAGUCAGCAUGGCCUUUAUAUCCUGGGCUACACACACGCUACAAUGGCCAACACAAUAGGUUGCUAGGCCGCGAGGUGGCGCCAAUCCAUAAAGUUGGUCUCAGUUCAGAUUGUAGGCUGCAACCCGCCUGCAUGAAGAUGGAGUUGCUAGUAACCGCAGGUCAGCUAUACUGCGGUGAAUACGUUCCCGGGGCUU
RNAcentral lists this ribosomal RNA (242 nucleotides) under uncultured Leptolinea sp. RNAcentral describes it as "partial 16S ribosomal RNA". It matches the Rfam family "Bacterial small subunit ribosomal RNA", at positions 1141 to 1382 of the family's 1533-position model. The record is from RNAcentral. Lineage: Bacteria; Bacillati; Chloroflexota; Anaerolineae; Anaerolineales; Anaerolineaceae.